AACGAACGCUGGCGGCAGGCUUAACACAUGCAAGUCGAACGCCCCGCAUGGGGAGUGGCAGACGGGUGAGUAACGCGUGGGAAUCUACCCAGUUCUACGGAACAACAGUUGGAAACGACUGCUAAUACCGUAUACGCCCUAAGGGGAAAGAUUUAUCGGAAUUGGAUGAGCCCGCGUUGGAUUAGCUAGUUGGUGGGGUAAUGGCCUACCAAGGCGACGAUCCAUAGCUGGUCUGAGAGGAUGAUCAGCCACACUGGGACUGAGACGCGGCCCAGACUCCUACGGGAGGCAGCAGUGGGGAAUAUUGGACAAUGGGCGCAAGCCUAAUCCAGCCAUGCCGCGUGAGUGAUGAAGGCCCUUAGGGUUGUAAAGCUCUUUCAGUAGGGAAGAUAAUGACGGUACCUACAGAAGAAGCCCCGGGCUAACUUCGUGCCAGCAGCCGCGGUAAUACGAAGGGGGUCUAGCGUUGUUCGGGAUUUUACUGGGCGUAAAGCGCACGUAGGCGGUUUGUUAAGUCAGGGGUGAAAUCCGGAGCUCAACUCCGGAACUGCCUUGAUACUGGCAAGCUAGAGUCCGGAAGAGGUAAGUGGAACUCCU
This 597-nucleotide ribosomal RNA is filed under the name uncultured bacterium. RNAcentral's name for it is "bacterial SSU rRNA". It matches the Rfam family "Bacterial small subunit ribosomal RNA", at positions 28 to 671 of the family's 1533-position model. The record is from RNAcentral.